This is an RNA transcript of Sapajus apella (tufted capuchin), 2145 nucleotides long. It is a transcript of the gene named ADP ribosylation factor GTPase activating protein 1, with no coding region annotated. Lineage: Eukaryota; Metazoa; Chordata; Mammalia; Primates; Cebidae. The transcript has 14 exons. The record is from RefSeq and is a predicted model, not a curated record.
CUUGCGAGCGCGACGUAGCCGGAAGCUGGUGGCGGCUGGUGGGCGCCCGGGCGCGUCCCCGUUGCAGUGCGGCGGCCCGACCCCGGCUCUGGCCUGACCCCGGCGGCCCUGUCCGCCUCCUGCCAGCAUCAUGGCCAGCCCAAGAACCAGGAAGGUUCUUAAAGAAAUCAGGGUGCAGGAUGAGAACAACGUUUGUUUUGAGUGUGGCGCAUUCAAUCCUCAGUGGGUCAGUGUGACCUACGGCAUCUGGAUCUGCCUGGAGUGCUCGGGGCGACACCGUGGGCUCGGGGUGCACCUCAGCUUUGUACGCUCCGUUACUAUGGACAAGUGGAAGGACCUUGAGCUUGAGAAGAUGAAAGUGGGCGGGAACGCCAAGUUCCGAGAGUUCCUGGAGUCGCAGGAGGAUUACGAUCCCUGCUGGUCCUUGCAGGAGAAGUACAGCAGCAGAGCCGCGGCCCUCUUCAGGGAUAAGGUGGCCGCUCUGGCCGAAGGCAGAGAGUGGUCUCUGGAGUUGUCACCUGCCCAGAACUGGACCCCGCCUCAGCCCAGGACGCUGCCGUCCGUGGCGCACCGAGCCUCUGGCCAGCCGCACAAUGUGACCGCCUCCUCAGACAAGGCUUUUGAAGACUGGCUGAAUGAUGACCUAGGCUCCUAUCAAGGGACCCAAGGGAAUCGCUACGUGGGCUUUGGGAACACACCACCACCUCAGAAGAAAGAAGACGACUUCCUCAACAAUGCCAUGUCUUCCCUGUACUCGGGCUGGAGCAGCUUCACUACUGGAGCCAGCAGGUUUGCCUCAGCAGCCAAGGAGGGCGCUACAAAGUUUGGAUCCCAAGCAAGUCAGAAGUUUUGGGGUCACAAGCAGCAGCCGGAGCCGGCGUCGGAGCUGGGCCACAGCCUGAACGAGAAUGUCCUCAAGCCUGCGCAGGAGAAGGUGAAGGAGGGAAAGAUUUUUGAUGAUGUGUCCAGUGGGGUCUCUCAGUUGGCCUCCAAGUGCCGGCACCAUCCUCGCCGUCUUCCGUCCGCUGCUCUGCCGGCCGGUCGGGGUCUGCGUUUUGUCCUGUUUGCUGGCGUGGGGUGCUCUGCAGAUGGGGAGGGAAAAGCAGGCCCCACCCCUCUCCCCUGUGUGUGGGUGGGUGCUCCUGUAGUCUGUGCACCCAGCGCUGCUGUGCGUGUCUGUGUCCGAGUGUGCCAGGCACCCCUCGCUUCUGGAUUUUACCUGGGCCUUCGCUGCCGGUUGGUGUGCACUGGCUUGCGUGCCUGUGCCGUGACGGGGCCUCCCUAAUCUCUCUUCUCAUCUUCCAGGUCCAGGGAGUCAGCAGUAAGGGAUGGCGGGACGUUACCACCUUUUUCUCGGGGAAAGCAGAGGGUCCCUUGGACAGUUCCUCUGAGGGCCACAGUUACCAGAACAGUGGUCCGGACCACUUCCAGAACAGCGCCAUAGACCAGAGCUUCUGGGAGACCUUCGGGAGCACCGAGUCCGCCAAGGCCCGGAAGUCCCCGAGCAGCGACAGCUGGACCUGCGCAGACACCUCCACGGAGAGGAGGAGCUCCGACAGCUGGGAGGUGUGGGGCUCAGCCUCCACCAACAGGAACAGCAACAGCGACGGCGGGGAGGGCGGGGAGGGCGCCAAGAAGGCGGUGCCGCCGGCUGUGCCCGCCGACAACGGCUGGGACAACCAGAACUGGUAGGGCCGCCACAGGCAGCCCUGUCCCCAGUGCCCUGGGUGACUUCAUAUCUGCACUCUGCCCUCGUUCUCUUUCCAUUUGAUCCAAGAAUCAGCGACCACAGUGUGAGGACAGCGUCUCGGGAGGCAGGACUCCGGGGAGACCCGGGUUCGUGCCGCUGUCCACCUUGGGAGUCUCGGUGCGUGGGGCAGCUUGCUCUCCAUCCCACACUCCCUGGGCACACUUGGACUCCAGCAGGGGCCUGGCGUGGCUUACUGGGAGGUGGGCUGUGGCACAGACCCUCGCAAGUGUGUUCCGGCGGCCAGUUUGACACAUUAUCUCCAGGGUCGGGGAUCGGCCACGUGCUGCGCUGUCGGAGAUGAGAGGAGCCACGUCUCCUGGAGAUGUUUAACUCUGGAUUUGCUCUAGUUCUUUCUCUUUCAAGAGAGUGACUGGAGGGGUAAAGAUGGAAAUGCU